AAGGAGGGAGGGCAGACAGAGACACACACCCUGUGUGAGAGAGAAAAAAUGCGCAUUUCCCCUUUAAGUAGCUGACCCCAGGGUUAAGUACACUGCCUUGUUAAUUAAAUCAGCUUACUGAGACCUGAGACUGCAGCUACUGCCUAGAAACUCCCUUCCUCCCUUGUGUGACCCCCCUACUCUAUGGAAGAUGGGGUCGGUCACUUCAGUGAGCAGCACUUAUCUUUACAACAACUAACAGUAAAGGCGAGAUGAAAAUGUAACAUCCACAAGGUAGUUUACAUCCAGUCUAGCCAGCACAUUGUGAGUGAACCGUUCAGAUUGAUGGACCAUUAAGGAAAACAAUGGGUCAUGGAAGAAGCUUAUCCCCACCUAAUGGACUUUCCUGUGGACGUUAGCCAGAAUAUGGGUAAUUCCCCUGGCUAUGACUCAUCGACGCAUUCAAGGGCAUGUGACCAGCUCAUGUGACACUGGACUCCAUCUUGUGCCUGUACUUUUCCACAAACUGUGCUGGGGGCUUUGCUUGGAACAAUGAGUUUCCCUCCACAACAGAGAAGCUAUAAAAGGCCCUAGAAACGUCUCCAUUUGGCCUCUUUCCUGCUCUGAUCUCUGGAGUAUGGGCUUACACUAACAGGAGCAUCAAAACCAAUGGACUGAGGACCUUCCAACCUUAACAAUGUUACCAGAGAGAAUAUAAGUCAGCAAUUUUAUUCCAUCACUGUUUCAAACCUGAUACAAGAAACUUUGCAAUUACUGUAUGUAUUUGAUUCCUUUGACCAUUUUAAUUCACUCUUUUCUUUUCUCUUAUAAACAAACCUUUACAUAUUACAUACUAAAGGUUUGGAAACAGCGUGA
Non-coding RNA from Chrysemys picta bellii (western painted turtle), 855 nucleotides. The record is from RefSeq and is a predicted model, not a curated record. NCBI's taxonomy places the organism in Eukaryota, Metazoa, Chordata, Testudines, Emydidae.